RNAcentral lists this small RNA (82 nucleotides) under Xenorhabdus budapestensis. RNAcentral describes it as "STnc230". Lineage: Bacteria; Pseudomonadati; Pseudomonadota; Gammaproteobacteria; Enterobacterales; Morganellaceae. The record is from RNAcentral.
CCUGCACCAAAUAAAAAUUCACUGAUAAAACAGUGAAUUGGGGAAUAAAAAGAGCCACCUUCGGGUGGCUUUUUUCUUGGUU